Molecule: ribosomal RNA, 468 nt
Filed under: uncultured bacterium
Lineage: Bacteria
Description: partial 16S ribosomal RNA
Rfam family: Bacterial small subunit ribosomal RNA
Source: RNAcentral
GACGAACGCUGGCGGCGCGCCUAACACAUGCAAGUCGAACGGAGCUGAGCGAAGCUUGCUUUUCUUAGCUUAGUGGCGAACGGGUGAGUAACGCGUGAGUAACCUGCCCUGGAGUGGGGGACAACAGUUGGAAACGACUGCUAAUACCGCAUAAGCCCACGAUCCGGCAUCGGAUUGAGUGUAAAGGAUUUAUUCGCUUCAGGAUGGACUCGCGUCCAAUUAGCUAGUUGGUGAGGUAACGGCCCACCAAGGCGACGAUUGGUAGCCGGACUGAGAGGUUGAACGGACACAUUGGGACUGAGGCACGGCCCAGACUCCUACGGGAGGCAGCAGUGGGGGAUAUUGCACAAUGGGCGAAACCCUGAUGCAGCGACGCCGCGUGGAGGAAGAAGGUUUUAGGAUUGUAAACUCCUGUCGUUAGGGACGAUAAUGACGGUACCUAACAAGAAAGCACCGGCUAACUACGUG